Molecule: long non-coding RNA, 1346 nt
Organism: Passer domesticus (house sparrow)
Lineage: Eukaryota; Metazoa; Chordata; Aves; Passeriformes; Passeridae
Exons: 4
Source: RefSeq, a predicted model, not a curated record
ACAGUUUGUGCUUAUCUGAACGACCUGCACUCCUCCAUUUCAGCUAAGGGGGAUCUGAAUGAGGAUGGACAAAGGACCUUGCUUGUGAGAGAGGGAAAAAGGGAUUGUGAGACUUGGUGGAAUAAUGAGCAGAACCCCUGGGGGAAGGUACCAGAGGAAAAGCAGUACCUCCUUGAGACUUGGAUCUAAGGCUCUCACUGCAGGUCUGGAGCACAGCUUAUUGUUUCAGCCAAAGUCAGUUUCUCCUCUAUUAAACUCAGCUGGGGUUUUUCCUGGCCUAAUCUCACCCACACUGAAGACAAAUUGAAAGAAACAAGCAGAGCACAACACCGGAAAGUGGAUGAAGAAACAAAAGCCUGCCUUUGAAAGAGAUCUCUGUGAAUCUCUGGCACGUAGCAGCAAAAGGGAGGAAAUGGGAGGCUGAGAAGGACAGAGCAUCUGCUCACAUUGUGGCUGCACUCUCCAUCCAAACAUCAGGCUCUGGAAGGCCAGAGCUCAAGUUCUGACUGUGAAUAUCUUGGCUCGUGUCAAUGCUCUUCCUGCACCCACCUGACUUCAGCUGGAUUUUUGCCACUGUCUUCUUUGGGGGUAGCAUCACCAAAAUCUGCACUGGUUCAGUCUUAAUACCUAAGGAUUAAUAAAAAUAACCCCUAAGACAUACUGGAGCAAGUGAAUUGAAUAAAACACGAGUUAAUGUGCUGGCUAACAUGUUUCCCAGCAGCUGGCCUCCAGCAAACAGCUAAAGGUCCUCACUUGGUAAUCAAAGGUGCUGCUGUGCUGAGAAGUUCUGGCCACCACUAAAUCCUACAGCAGCUUGGUCAGCAGCCCUCUGGGAUUCCUGCCAGGUAGAACGGCAGAGGAAUUUGUACAACUAUAACAGGAGGAAGAAAUAUUCUUCUAGAAGGAGUUCUAACUCAUCAGGUUCCCUGGGAGCCCAUGAUGUGUCUGAGCUGCCUCAGCCACUCCCACACGUCCAUCCAGGGUGAAGAACAAUAUUCCUGAUGGUUCUGUCCUACCAAACACCCACCAGGAGAAGCCCCCCUCCACAGCUCGUCCUGCUCUAUCACAGCAAUUCUCUGCAGUAACUCGGGCUAUCAGGAAGAAUGAUAAUGUUCAUAAACCAAGGAAUCAUUCCACACAUGAACAGGCCUGUGGAAGAGGAGAAGGAAGGGGAAUGUGCAGCCUGAAAAAAUGGUAACAAAUGUGGAUUUCCAUAACAUUCAGCACUAUCCACAGCUUCCUAAGGCAAAUGGGACUGUUACCACUGACUCCAACAGAAAAACAUUUGGCUCAGUGGUGAGUGAUUUUGAAAAUGCUGCUUUGACAUUUUAGGCCUGAAACCAGAC